GACGAACGCUGGCGGCGUGCCUAACACAUGCAAGUCAACUUGACUGAAGGAGCAAUCUGACAGUAGAGUGGCGCAAGGGUGCGUAACGCGUAAGUAACUUGCCCAAGGUAAGGAAUAACGUCGAGAAAUCGGCGCUAAUACCUCAUAAUGCAGCGGAUCCGCAUGGAUAUGUUGUUAAAGGUUUACCGCCUUGGGAUAGGCUUGCGUCUGAUUAGCUAGUUGGUGUGGUAACGGCACACCAAGGCUACGAUCAGUAACUGGUCUGAGAGGAUGAUCAGUCACACUGGAACUGAGACACGGUCCAGACUCCUACGGGAGGCAGCAGUGAGGAAUAUUGGGCAAUGCUCGAAAGAGUGACCCAGCAACGCCGCGUGGAGGAUGAAGGUAUUCUAUAUCGUAAACUCCUGUGAGAGCAGACGAAAGACAGAUUAUUAAUCUGGAUGACUGUAUGCUC
RNAcentral lists this ribosomal RNA (454 nucleotides) under uncultured bacterium. RNAcentral describes it as "bacterial SSU rRNA". It matches the Rfam family "Bacterial small subunit ribosomal RNA", at positions 28 to 482 of the family's 1533-position model. The record is from RNAcentral.